Molecule: non-coding RNA, 202 nt
Organism: Paramuricea clavata
Lineage: Eukaryota; Metazoa; Cnidaria; Anthozoa; Malacalcyonacea; Plexauridae
Source: the annotation of a GenBank genome assembly
CUUCCACAGCAAUUGCUUGGUGAGCCACGGCCAAAAUCACCAGGACUCCGAGGAACAUUUUCCCGCUCUUAGUGUUUUCCCGCACCAACAAAGUUUUCAAAGCGUUUUGUUUACACAGGUCGUUGGACGAAAUCUGUUUUCUAAUCAACAGCGUAGGUCACAACUGUUUUACUCCGGACAGACGUCUCCGAGUUAUAAACCC